RNAcentral lists this ribosomal RNA (496 nucleotides) under uncultured bacterium. RNAcentral describes it as "partial 16S ribosomal RNA". It matches the Rfam family "Bacterial small subunit ribosomal RNA", at positions 29 to 507 of the family's 1533-position model. The record is from RNAcentral.
AUGAACGCUGGCGGCGUGCCUCAUCCAUGCAGGUCGAGCGAACGGACGAGAAGCUUGCUUCUCUGAUGUUAGCGGCGGACGGGUGAGUAACACGUGGAUAACCUACCUAUAAGACUGGGAUAACUUCGGGAAACCGGAGCUAAUACCGGAUGAUAUUUUGAACCGCAUGGUUCAAAAGUGAAAGACGGUCUUGCUGUCACUUAUAGAUGGAUCCGCGCUGCAUUAGCUAGUUGGUAAGGUAACGGCUUACCAAGGAAACGAUGCAUAGCCGACCUGAGAGGGUGAUCGGCCACACUGGAACUGAGACACGGUCCAGACUCCUACGGGAGGCAGCAGUAGGGAAUCUUCCGCAAUGGGCGAAAGCCUGACGGAGCAACGCCGCGUGAGUGAUGAAGGUCUUCGGAUCGUAAAACUCUGUUAUUAGGGAAGAACAUAUGUGUAAGUAACUGUGCACAUCUUGACGGUACCUAAUCAGAAAGCCACGGCUAACUACGUG